Molecule: long non-coding RNA, 357 nt
Filed under: Eucalyptus grandis
Lineage: Eukaryota; Viridiplantae; Streptophyta; Magnoliopsida; Myrtales; Myrtaceae
Description: long non-coding RNA (EGRA_LNC003965)
Source: RNAcentral
ACCUUUCACUUUUCCUCUCCGUAAGCCGCUCUCUCCCUUCGCUUCUUUCGCUCGUCUUUCUUCUUUAGCUCUUCUUCAACGACGCGCGUCUUCUUCGCCAUUGAAGGUCCAGGUCUUCUUCUUCAUCAUUGAAGGUCUGACUCUUCUUCAACGACGCUCAACACAGUUCUAGGUUCUCUCUCCUCUCUGAUUUGAGAAUAAUCUCAGAAUUUUUUUGAUCAAUGCUUUACAACGUUGAGUUGAUGUUGAUUCUCUGCAUUUCAGUUGUUUGAUUCACGUUUCCUUUCAUCUUCUUCAAGCAAUUGAAGUAAAACACCCCGUAAAGCCUCUCUCUCAAUCCUCUGCGUAUUCCAGAAG